UGGUCGUUACCAAGGCUUUUAGAACGCAGUUUCUGAUUUGCUGUGGGCAGGACCACAAACAAUUUCCCAAUAAGUUUGGUCUUUUUGCCGCCUUGCUAGCAUACCACCAACUGGGGACACCA
Molecule: small nucleolar RNA, 122 nt
Organism: Echinops telfairi (small Madagascar hedgehog)
Lineage: Eukaryota; Metazoa; Chordata; Mammalia; Afrosoricida; Tenrecidae
Source: Ensembl